This 216-nucleotide long non-coding RNA is filed under the name Lathyrus oleraceus (garden pea). RNAcentral's name for it is "Pisum sativum (pea) long non-coding RNA (PSAT_LNC016800)". The record is from RNAcentral. Lineage: Eukaryota; Viridiplantae; Streptophyta; Magnoliopsida; Fabales; Fabaceae.
AAAAGUGGAAAAAGGGCAAAGAGAACCAGAGAACAAGGGUUGGAGAGAGGAAGAGCUUGAAGCUUAAAGAUUCGCCGGAUUAACUCAGGUAAGGGGGGUUUAUCGUCGAUUAAUGGGUAUUAUAAACCAGAGAACAAGGGUUGGAGAGAGGAAGAGCUUGAAGCUUAAAGAUUCGCCGGAUUAACUCAGGUAAGGGGGGUUUAUCGUCGAUUAAUG